Long non-coding RNA from Sarcophilus harrisii (Tasmanian devil), 1436 nucleotides. RefSeq lists it as uncharacterized. The record is from RefSeq and is a predicted model, not a curated record. The transcript has 2 exons. Lineage: Eukaryota; Metazoa; Chordata; Mammalia; Dasyuromorphia; Dasyuridae.
AAAUAAAUGGAGAAAAGAUAGUUGCUGAGGCAAUAAGGUAAACUUUCCUUAUCAAUAUACCCCACUCUCUGGAAUUUUCGGAUAUAUUUCAGAAUAUUUUGCAAUAUUCAGUUAUAUAUAUAUAUAUAGUAUUCUGCAUAAAUAAUGGUUAUGGGGUUAAUUGGGGAAACCACUUUGAUUAAUCAUCUAAGUGUUAAGAUGUUGCUUCUUUGUUCUAGAAGAGGACCAAGACAUCAGGAAAGUGAUGUCAUUCAUAGUUUGCAAAGGAGUUUUAAGUGAAAUAGGUUUUGCAAAGUCACCAGCCUCACACUCUCUUCCAAAGUCUUCUGGGUCCAGUGGCAAGAUACAAACCAAAACUACUAGAGAUGGUCUUAGAUGAAUGUGAGAGACCUUAGCCUUUUAAACUAAAGUCUUAAUUUCCUAGGUCUUUGUGAGACAGAGAAUGAUUUUUUUUUUUUUUAUAGUAAAAAAAAAUCUUGCAGGGGAAGAUCCUCACGGUUUCUGGCCAAAACUGAAACAGCUGCUACUGUAACACUCAGACCCAUCAGAAUCCAAAUGUAGGCUUUAAACAUUCUACAAUUCAGUGUUCUUACAAACAAUGAUAUGGAAUGUGAAGGUCAGCACUAGCAUUCUGAAUUAUUGUACAAGAAUUCAUGUUUAGUAAAACUUGCAAAAACUUAUGUAAGUUCAUUUUAAAAAUGACUGAAAAAUAGUUUUAUGUAUUAAGAUUGAUAUUCUUACGAGGAAAGAAUCUGUAGAGGUAUAGAAAACAUCUCUUUAAAACAUUUGAAGGUACACCAGUAAAAAGUUUUAUUUAUUUUGAUUUGCCAUUGAGGACAGCAUUAAGAACAAUUCAGGACUUGGAAUAGAACAUCUGCUGAAUUUACCUUAUCUCUUCCCCUUCCAGUAAACAAUGUUUUGGUGUUUUUUUUUUUUUUUUCAAUAUUACAAAUUUAGAUAUAUUCUCAAUGUAUGGACCCAGAACAUCAGAAAGCAAUAACUGUCAGAAAACAUUCCGAAAUUUCUAAAACAAUGUUAGUUCUAUUACCUUUUAGAAAUAAUUAUUUUGGAGAGGAUUAUGGGAAGAUGGUGGAGUAAGUCAGAAAAUUCUCAGUUCUCCAAAUUUCCUCCACCAAAAAAACCUUAAAACCAACCACAGAAUAUAGCCUCAGAAGGAAUAUAGAGCAGCAGAAAUAAAUCAGACUAAAGCAGUGAUUCUCUUUAGACAACCUAAGAAGACUCUAGGAAAGGGGCAGAAAUUCUGCCCAGAAUGAAGUACAAAAACCUUUAGGCCAACUGUGCAGAACCAAUAAACAACAAGCCCUAGAGGCAACUUAGUAACUUAGUAACUCCCAUCUCACAAGACAGUGUAGAAUAUAAGAAUAUUGAAGAAGCUUCCAAAGUCAAGGAAUACCAGCACAGCUAAGUUGGCCAGU